AUAUAUAUGGUAAAAACUUAAUAACUUUAAAAAUCUUGACAGUUCCUGUGAUGAAAUUUCUUGAUAAUGUCCAGUGCAUCAACAGAGAUUUUAGUCUCAGCAGGGCGCUAUAAAACACAAUGUAUUUUUUAGCACCCUGGACUCAGUUAAGAGCAUAGCAACACAAAAACGUGCAUGCACUCAACAGCCAGGGGUUGUUGUAUAGUAUUUUAACUGGUAUAGAACUGUCCAAAUGAUCUCCUGUAUUUUAUUGGGCUUUCAACAGUUAUUCUCUUUUGAUACAAACACUGAUGCAGUCCUUAGCAAGAUUAAAAUCCGAACAGGAAUACAUAUUUUGUUUUCCUUUCCACAGAGUACUUUGUACUAUUUUAGCCUAGUUCACUACUUUCACUCUGCUUGAGUUUGUCUAUAUAAGCAAAUAUCAACUGUAACGUUUCUAAUGAGGGAAUGAACAAAAUUUUUCCAG
Molecule: non-coding RNA, 466 nt
Organism: Paramuricea clavata
Lineage: Eukaryota; Metazoa; Cnidaria; Anthozoa; Malacalcyonacea; Plexauridae
Source: the annotation of a GenBank genome assembly